GGAAGAUGGCUUCCUGACCUCUGUGUGUGUGAUGAGGGGCUGGAGAUUGAGUUCAAUUUCCAAUGGCCAAUGAUUUAAUCAAUCAUACCUACGUAAUGAAGCUUCUAUAAAAUCCCAAAAGGACAGGAUUCAGAAAGUUUCCUGGCAAAUCAACAGUGAAAUUACUGAUGUGCCAUGACCUUCACUUGCAGUUCAGUGCUCCAGAGGCUGAGUCUGGGUUUGGAAGGACAAUGAGUGACGAGCCAGAAGAUUGCAAAAAAUGUAGGCAGGAAGAGAAAGCAAUACCACUAUACAAAGCAUAAAUGAUAGAGCAUUGUGGCUUUGUGAAAUGCAAUAAAAUAGAGAGUGUGAAGACAGAUGAGGGCAUAUUGCAUACAACAGCAUCUGACACAGCAGUGAAAAUAAAUAAAUCGCCACUACACACAGCACCAUGGAUGAACCCCACAAGCACAGUGUGAAGCAGAAGAAAGCUAGAUACAAAAGAUGACCUGUGAUUGCAUUGAUAUACAAAUUUCAACACAGAUGAAUACUCUGCUGCUGAGGUCAGGAUAAUACUUUUUCAUGGUGAAGGGAGGGUGUUGGGGUGUGAAGAAGGUUUGAGGGGCUAAGUGCUGACUGCAUGGUGUGUUCACUUGUGAAAAUUCACUGGGUUGAAACUUGUCAUUUGUGCACCUCCUUCAUAUUUGCUAAAACAAUAAAACUCCACAAAAAAAAGAAAGGCAAGUGGAAAUUCAU
Canis lupus familiaris (dog) is the source of this 735-nucleotide long non-coding RNA. RefSeq lists it as uncharacterized. The record is from RefSeq and is a predicted model, not a curated record. Lineage: Eukaryota; Metazoa; Chordata; Mammalia; Carnivora; Canidae. The transcript has 3 exons.